Molecule: ribosomal RNA, 447 nt
Filed under: uncultured bacterium
Lineage: Bacteria
Description: bacterial SSU rRNA
Rfam family: Bacterial small subunit ribosomal RNA
Source: RNAcentral
UCGGGAAUUUUGGGCAAUGGGCGAAAGCCUGACCCAGCAACGCCGCGUGAAGGAUGAAGUAUUUCGGUAUGUAAACUUCGUAAGAAUAGGAAGAAUAAAUGACGGUACUAUUUAUAAGGUCCGGCUAACUACGUGCCAGCAGCCGCGGUAAUACGUAGGGACCAAGCGUUGUUCGGAUUUACUGGGCGUAAAGGGCGCGUAGGCGGCAAUUCAAGUCAUCUGUGAAAUCUCCGGGCUUAACUCGGAACGGCCAAGUGAUACUGCAAAGCUAGAGUGCAGAAGGGGCAAUCGGAAUUCUUGGUGUAGCGGUGAAAUGCGUAGAUAUCAAGAGGAACACCUGAGGUGAAGACGGGUUGCUGGGCUGACACUGACGCUGAGGCGCGAAAGCCAGGGGAGCAAACGGGAUUAGAUACCCUUGUAGUCCCUGAGCGGGCUGGCAAGGCGCAU